This 378-nucleotide unclassified non-coding RNA is filed under the name uncultured Parachlamydiaceae bacterium. RNAcentral's name for it is "contains 16S-23S intergenic spacer region". The record is from RNAcentral. Lineage: Bacteria; Pseudomonadati; Chlamydiota; Chlamydiia; Parachlamydiales; Parachlamydiaceae.
UCCCGGUUAACCCGGGCAGUCUCAUUAGAGUUCCCACCUUUACGUGUUGGCAACUAAUGAUAAGGGUUGCGCUCGUUGCUGGACUUAACCAAACACCUCACGGCACGAGCUGACGACAGCCAUGCAGCACCUGUGCAGAUGUCCCGAAGGAAAGCUCUAUCUCUAGAGCGGUCAUCUACAUGUCAAGCCUGGGUAAGGUUCUUCGCGUUGCAUCGAAUUAAACCACAUGCUCCACUGCUUGUGCGGGUCCCCGUCAAUUCUUUUGAGUUUCACCCUUGCGAGCGUACUCCUCAGGCGGUAUACUUAUCGCGUUAGCUUCGACACAGCUAGGGUUGAUUCCAGCUACAUCAAGUAUACAUAGUUUACGGUAAGGACUAC